UACGAAGGGUGCAAGCGUUACUCGGAAUUACUGGGCGUAAAGCGUGCGUAGGUGGUUUGUUAAGUCUGUUGUGAAAGCCCCGGGCUCAACCUGGGAAUGGCAAUGGAUACUGGCAGGCUAGAGUGCGGUAGAGGGUAGUGGAAUUCCCGGUGUAGCGGUGAAAUGCGUAGAGAUCGGGAGGAACACCAGUGGGCGAAGGCGGCUACCUGGACCAGCACUGACACUGAGGCACGAAAGGCGUGGGGGAGCAAACAGG
Molecule: ribosomal RNA, 256 nt
Filed under: uncultured bacterium
Lineage: Bacteria
Description: partial 16S ribosomal RNA
Rfam family: Bacterial small subunit ribosomal RNA
Source: RNAcentral